AUUGAACGCUGGCGGCAUGCCUUACACAUGCAAGUCGAACGGCAGCACGGGUGCUUGCACCUGGUGGCGAGUGGCGAACGGGUGAGUAAUACAUCGGAACAUGUCCUGUAGUGGGGGUAGGCCGGCGAAAGGCGGGUUAAUACCGCAUACGAUCUACGGAAGAAAGCGGGGGGCCUUCGGGCCUCGCGCUAUAGGGGUGGCCGAUGGCUGAUUAGCUAGUUGGUGGGGUAAAGGCCUACCAAGGCGACGAUCAGUAGCUGGUCUGAGAGGACGACCAGCCACACUGGGACUGAGACACGGCCCAGACUCCUACGGGAGGCAGCAGUGGGGAAUUUUGGACAAUGGGCGAAAGCCUGAUCCAGCAAUGCCGCGUGUGUGAAGAAGGCCUUCGGGUUGUAAAGCACUUUUGUCCGGAAAGAAAUCCUUGGCCCUAAUACGGUCGGGGGAUGACGGUACCGGAAGAAUAAGCACCGGCUAACUACGUG
RNAcentral lists this ribosomal RNA (485 nucleotides) under uncultured bacterium. Its description in RNAcentral is "partial 16S ribosomal RNA". It matches the Rfam family "Bacterial small subunit ribosomal RNA", at positions 29 to 507 of the family's 1533-position model. The record is from RNAcentral.